UUAAGGGCAAAUGGGUCAAAUAAUCGGAUCAUAUCUUCUUCCCCAAAUAAGAGGUAAUCGGAUCAUAUCGAUCGUAUUCCUCAUUCCUCAGAUCAAUCGGUCUUAGUACGCCAUCAUCGAUCGGAGCUUUGUUGUUCACCGCCUGCUCCAUCAACCGGUAGAUUUUUCUCGACCGACUUCAUCCCUACCUCGAUCCUCCCUAAAUUAGAGAUGAAGAUAAGGAGACUCAGCUCUCAUUUUGGAGUCCACUGUUGGAUCUGAGCUCUUUCUUGUUAAGGUGAAGUUGAUAAAAAAUCAGUGUCCAGCAAUGUUAAUUAAAAAGCAGUCAAGUAAACAAACCAUAUUGUAUUAUUCCUGGAAGAAAUUAAGGUAUAAAGUACAAUUAAAGUUGCUAUUAUAGAACUCCUAAAUUAAAACACAGACACAUAAAAGUAGCAACCAUGACCUAGUGACCUCUAAGGUGGUAGUGAAGCUCUAAAGUACCCUAGAUUGAUAAAUCUAUGUCCCACAGAUGUAAUUGUAAAUCUCAAUAUAUCAUUGUAGUCAUUAGUUUGUUUUAAUUGUAGUUUUUGUGCAACCAUAGAAAUCAUUCCAAAGUGAAUUCUCAAAAUGAGCUCUUUCGGUAUCACUUUAUGUAUAAAUAUUAAUUAAAGGCAUGAACUGUUUCAACUUUUUCUUUGCUCCAAGUUCCAAUCCACUUCAGUCCAAUCCAAUCCAAUCCAAUCCAGGGAAUAUGUCACAAUUCUUAUUAAGAGACACAUUGAAACGAAAGCAACAUACAAGUGUACGUUUCAUAAACAAACGCACAGAUGAUGUAAAAUCUGCCCCAUUAUCUACACCCGUAUUGUCGUCAUAAUCAUCCCGUACCACAUUAUCAUCUGUUGGUAAUGUAUCUGCCCCAACAUUUGUUUCACAUGUUGGUGCCACAUCAUCAACACAUGCAUCAUCCAUACCUACAUCAUCCAACCAGUCAUUCUUACCUACAUCAUCGACCCAAUCAUCUGUAUCUACAUCUAUCCAAUCAUUUACACAUGCAUCUACUACAUCAUCUGGUACCUAGAUCCACAACAAAUUGUAGUGAAUCGGUUGACGAAAAUGUUGGCGUUCAACAUCAAGGGUAUUUACUUGGAUCUACAGGACUGGAUGGGCGUCUAUAUAUUGGAGUGCAAGAUAAGGAGUUAUUUUCUUCGGGCCCAUGUUCUUCCGUUAUCUAUGAAUCCUUUGGUGAAAGAGCUGAUUUAAAUGGGUAUAGCUGGGCAACUUUAAGUGACGAGACAAAACUCCUUUAUUGGGACGAGUUUCAUGUAUGUAUCUCAUUUAUGAAAUUAUUAGGUACUUAUUAACUAAAAAACUCAUCUUUAUAUUUUGUAUUGUAGAAAAAGUGCCAUUGGGAUGAUGCAAAAACUCCGUUAGUCCAAGCUUGUUGGGAAAAUAAGGCAAAGGAAAGAUAUAAACAAUAUAUCUACAAUAUAAGCUCAAAAUGGAAAAAGUCGACUCUAAAAAAAACCUGUUAAUAUAACAUCAGAAGUGUGGACAUCCUGGACUGCAAGAUGGAAUACUGAAGACUUCAAGAAGAAAUCAGAACAAAAAAAAAUAGGCGUAGAGGUGUAGCUGAUGGACAAGCCCUUUCUACGCAUACCGGUGGAUCGGCUUCUCAUUCUAAAAUUGCUUCUGAUUUAAAGAAGCUUUGGGGACAUGAUCCGACACACCAUGACUAUUCUUGUAUACACACACUAAGAAUUACGAUGGAGUGACUUUUUUAGUUGACAAAGCUAAAAGAAUUCAUGAUGAUUUUAUGGAAUGAUGUGAUCGGUUGGAAGCAAUAGGAAUGGAAAUUGAUGAAGACAAACUAUUUUAUGAUGUUGUUGGGGGACAUGAUCGAAAAAAGAGAUUAUAUGGAUUUGGCUCAUAUGGAAAGUGCAUUCGUUCUAGUAAAGGAUCUUCUGAAAUGCACCGCGAACAAUACGAGGAUAAUAAUGCCGAGACAAAAGUCGAGAUUGAGAAUUUGAAGAAGUUAGUUGAGACGCAAUGCGAACAAUAUGAGGAUAUUCAACAAAAAUAUGAGGAUGUUCAGCAAAAAUAUGAGGAUGCUCAGAAAAAGAAUGUGGAGUUUCAGCAUAAAAAUGUGGAUGUUCAAGCUAAGUUUGAACAACAACUCGCACAAGCAGUGAAUGUCAUUAACACAUUGAGUGAAAAAGUCAAAAAUUUUAUUAAUCAAUGAUAGAAUAUUAUGUUGGAUUAGUGUCUACGUCCAUAACUAUUUUGGUAUGUACUUGACCCGAUGGUGCAUGGUCCUUUUGGGUUGCCUUCACCAAAGCAACUUGAUAGGAUGAAUUAUGGAGA
This is a non-coding RNA of Lactuca sativa (garden lettuce), 2343 nucleotides long. The record is from RefSeq and is a predicted model, not a curated record. NCBI's taxonomy places the organism in Eukaryota, Viridiplantae, Streptophyta, Magnoliopsida, Asterales, Asteraceae.